CAAGCCGGUCGGACGGCCGCGGGCGGCUCGCCGCCUGAGGAAAGUCCGGACUCCACAGAGCAGGGCGCUGGGUAACGCCCAGUCGGGGUGACCCGAAGGAGAGUGCCACAGAAAUGACACAGCCGCGAUCUCGGUCGCGGCAACGGUGAAAUGGUGGGGUAAGAGCCCACCGGCGGCCGGGUGACCGGCCGGCCAGGUAAACCCCGCCCGGAGCAAGGUCGAACAGGGACGGACGCGGUCCGCCGCAUCCAGGGGCGGCUCGUCCCAGGUCCCGGGUCAGACCGCACGAGGUGCCGGGCAACCGGCAUCCCAGAUGGAUGGCCGUCCCCCGCCCAUGGGGUGGGGACAGAAUCCGGCUUACAGACCGGCUUGCAUC
RNAcentral lists this RNase P RNA (376 nucleotides) under Chloroflexota bacterium. RNAcentral's name for it is "Chloroflexi bacterium (soil metagenome) RNase P RNA component class A". It matches the Rfam family "Bacterial RNase P class A". From Rfam's summary of the family: Ribonuclease P (RNase P) is a ubiquitous endoribonuclease, found in archaea, bacteria and eukarya as well as chloroplasts and mitochondria. The record is from RNAcentral. Lineage: Bacteria; Bacillati; Chloroflexota.